This 403-nucleotide ribosomal RNA is filed under the name Fusobacteriota bacterium. RNAcentral's name for it is "Fusobacteria bacterium partial 16S ribosomal RNA". It matches the Rfam family "Bacterial small subunit ribosomal RNA", at positions 355 to 776 of the family's 1533-position model. The record is from RNAcentral. Lineage: Bacteria; Fusobacteriati; Fusobacteriota.
UGGGGAAUAUUGCACAAUGGGGGAAACCCUGAUGCAGCGACGCCGCGUGAGCGAAGAAGGUUUUCGAAUCGUAAAGCUCUGUCCGAUGGGAAGAUAAUGACGGUACCAUAGGAGGAAGCCCCGGCUAACUACGUGCCAGCAGCCGCGGUAAUACGUAGGGGGCAAGCGUUGUCCGGAAUCACUGGGCGUAAAGGGUUCGCAGGCGGAAAUGCAAGUCAGUUGUGAAAGGCAGAGGCUCAACCUCUGUAAGCAAUUGAAACUGUAUUUCUUGAGAUGUGGAGAGGCAAGUGGAAUUCCUAGUGUAGCGGUGAAAUGCGUAGAUAUUAGGAAGAAUACCGGUGGCGAAGGCGACUUGCUGGACACAAACUGACGCUGAGGAACGAAAGCGUGGGUAGCAAACAGG